Molecule: long non-coding RNA, 1075 nt
Filed under: Anas zonorhyncha (Eastern spot-billed duck)
Lineage: Eukaryota; Metazoa; Chordata; Aves; Anseriformes; Anatidae
Description: lncRNA (ENSAZOG00000007010.1)
Source: RNAcentral
GUUUAAACUAAACACAGCUAUCCCUGCUUUCUGCCAUUGUCUUCUGUCUUGCUCCCAAGGCAGUUUGAGUUUAUUGGAACCUAGUCCAUCACACAAAUAAAGACAGCCCUCAUAUGUUAAAGAGGUGUCGAGUAACUACUUGCUGCUUCUAACCACCUACUGGAGAAGAAAUGGAGUCUGCUGGGCCUCCUUCCCCCUGGAAUAAAACGGGGUGGAUGUGGAUAUAUAAAAAUACAUGCACAUGGGCCUUCUGCAUCCUGCUUUGUCGGCACUUGGCACGCUAAUACCCUCCUGUCUAUCUCAGUGUCCUGCAGUCAAGACCAAGAGAAGGUGUGAAAUAAAUACAGGGCUGAGAAGUUUUUCGCUUGUGCUUGCAGUGGUGUAGAAGCCGUUACUGGUCCAACAGCAGAGCCUAGAUGAGAAUUUCCUUGUGUUGGUUCACUAUGUUAUUACAACUUCCUUUCAUAAAAAUGGGCUGCAGAAAAUAGAUGAAGGGUAUUUAUCCUGUCUAAGACUGAUGCUUGUGUUAUAGAGAGAAACUGCAGAGCAAUAGCUUGGCGAAGAAUCUCUUUUGACUUAGAGAUAUCAAAAUACGUUCUGUAUCGUUCUUUUCAGGGCUACUUCAGGCUUCAGAAGAAUUGCCACUUUUGCAGUCAAAUCCAAGUAACAUCUGCUCUAUGCAACCAGUCAAUAUUGUGGAAAAGUUCAAAGAAUGAAGAUCAUUAGUAGUGUCAGCUUUACAACCAGAAGGGAAAAUUAUGGAAUUUUCUGCUUGAAAAAAAACAAAGUGAAUGGUCCAGUUAACAAAUUCUCACAGAGAGGAGGGAAAAAAAGCAAGCCAGAAGAAUUUGGCAAGUUUGGCUUUUGCUUGCAAGUAUUUGUAGCGCUCUGGUGGUGAUACCAGAUGAGUUUUGCAGCUGUAAGAAGUAUUUGCUCUUUCUGGGUUCAGUUUUGUGAGUUCCCGAGUGUUGUCUCUCAUGGACCAGGCUGUUUCAGGUUACGUUAUCUCAGAGAUAACCCACAUGUUGGAGUGCUUUCCUAAAUGGGGAUUGAAAUAAGCGCCGCUGAAGCCUGU